Long non-coding RNA from Brassica napus (rape), 1361 nucleotides. RefSeq lists it as uncharacterized. The transcript is spliced from 3 exons. The record is from RefSeq and is a predicted model, not a curated record. NCBI's taxonomy places the organism in Eukaryota, Viridiplantae, Streptophyta, Magnoliopsida, Brassicales, Brassicaceae.
UUUGAAUGAUUUACUUAAGUUAAGACUUUAUGUUAUUCUGUUUGAUCCAUUUUAUCAUUUCAGUUUUACAAAGGCCCAAUAAGAUAAAUGUCCAUAUCUAGUUUACAAAGAACAAAUCACUAUUCUCGGUUUAGGGCAAGGAUAGGGGUUAGGAUUCUCAUGUUUUUGUUAGUGAUUAGGUUUAGAGAUUUCUUUUAAGGUUUAUUCUAAUUAUAGUUUUGAGGUCUUUUUAAAGAAACUAUAACACACAUUAAGACAAAAUUAUAUGUUAAUCACAAAACACAUGAUGUAGUUCCCUUUCCACAUUAUCUUUCUUGUGAAAGGGUUAGCAUAUGUAGUGUUUAGUUUGAGGGUUAGAGUAUAUUGGUGUAGUUAAAGUGUUUAGUGGUUUAUAUAUUUAGAAAUUGAUGUCUAAACUUAGAUUUAUAUUUUAGAAUCAUGAUUAUAAUUUUUUACAAAUUUUAGAUAAUUUUAAAAAUAUUUAUAAAUAACCAGAAACAUAAUUUCUCUUCUUUAUUUAAUAGCCAUCGAUUGAUAUCUCAGAUCAAAGGCCCAUAAUCCACCAUCCAUCAGCUAUCCUCGUUCUCUCUUCCUAUUGGUUGAUUAUUUUAAGGCAAGGAUCAUAAUCUUGUCCGUUCGUAAAUGUUAAUCUAACGGUUCAGAAUUGUUUUUUCUUUUAUCUCCUUCCUUCUCUCUCAGAACAUACGCCCACCGCAAACUAGGUUAGAGAGUUAUCUCAAACCACCACAAAUCUCUUUGUGACACCACGAGCCCACCUCGACCCACCACUAAUCACUGUCUACCCAUCACGAUUCCAUCUCAAACAACCAUGAUUCUCUCUUAAGCGACCUCGAUUUCUCUCUCUGGGUUUCCAUCGAACUCAUCCAUAUCAAAAGAUCCUUAUAGAUUCGAACCCUCACAGAUCUGGGUUGGGAACUUCUUCAAAGUCUAGAAACUCUAAUGGAAGGAAGGAAGAGCAUCGUAUGUGCACUGCCGGCAUCUGGAGUGAGACCACAACUACUCCAAAAACAAAAACCACAACAAGAAGCACUCAACAGAGAGCAAGAACGAGGACAGUCCUCGGGAGGAAAUGAUGUGGAGGAGAUAACCAGAACAGAGUUCAGAACCUCUCUUGGCUACUUGACACGCAUUGAGGAACCUGAAGAAGACAUCGACCCAAUGUUCAGAAACUCAUCUCUUUUCAGACGCCCACCACAAGCACAAGGACAGUCCUCGCGAACCAAGUCUGGCCGUCAUUACUAAUUGUUGUUUAUGUAUGUUGUUUAUGUCUGUUGUUUAUGUAUGUGUUUUUUUGCUAUAUGAUGAAUCAAUUGUCAGCACAUUAUAGUGCUUUUUGCAUA